UAAGGUCCCAAAGUCAUGGUUAAGUGGGAAACGAUGUGGGAAGGCCCAGACAGCCAGGAUGUUGGCUUAGAAGCAGCCAUCAUUUAAAGAAAGCGUAAUAGCUCACUGGUCGAGUCGGCCUGCGCGGAAGAUGUAACGGGGCUAAACCAUGCACCGAAGCUGCGGCAGCGACGCUUAUGCGUUGUUGGGUAGGGGAGCGUUCUGUAAGCCUGCGAAGGUGUGCUGUGAGGCAUGCUGGAGGUAUCAGAAGUGCGAAUGCUGACAUAAGUAACGAUAAAGGGGGUAAAAAGCCCGCUCGCCGGAAGACCAAGGGUUCCUGUCCAACGUUAAUCGGGGCAGGGUGAGUCGACCCCUAAGGCGAGGCCGAAAGGCGUAGUCGAUGGGAAACAGGUUAAUAU
RNAcentral lists this ribosomal RNA (398 nucleotides) under Escherichia coli. RNAcentral describes it as "bacterial LSU rRNA". It matches the Rfam family "Bacterial large subunit ribosomal RNA", at positions 1040 to 1436 of the family's 2925-position model. Lineage: Bacteria; Pseudomonadati; Pseudomonadota; Gammaproteobacteria; Enterobacterales; Enterobacteriaceae. The record is from RNAcentral.